CUUCCCAGCAUUUUGGACGGGAUCUUUAAGAAGCCUUCCGGUGACAAACUGGAGGAAGGGGGGGAGGACGUCAAGUCAUCAUGGCCCUUACGGCCAGGGCUACACACGUGCUACAAUGGUCGGUACAAAGGGUAGCCACACAGCGAUGUGAUGCUAAUCCAAAAAAGCCGAUCGUAGUCCGGAUUGCAGUCUGCAACUCGACUCCAUGAAGUCGGAAUCGCUAGUAAUCGUGGAUCAGCAUG
RNAcentral lists this ribosomal RNA (242 nucleotides) under uncultured Acinetobacter sp. Its description in RNAcentral is "partial 16S ribosomal RNA". It matches the Rfam family "Bacterial small subunit ribosomal RNA", at positions 1114 to 1356 of the family's 1533-position model. Lineage: Bacteria; Pseudomonadati; Pseudomonadota; Gammaproteobacteria; Moraxellales; Moraxellaceae. The record is from RNAcentral.